GACGAACGCUGGCGGCGUGCCUAAUACAUGCAAGUAGAACGCUGAAGAGAGGAGCUUGCUCUUCUUGGAUGAGUUGCGAACGGGUGAGUAACGCGUAGGUAACCUGCCUGGUAGCGGGGGAUAACUAUUGGAAACGAUAGCUAAUACCGCAUAAUAGUAGAUGUUGCAUGACAUUUGCUUAAAAGGUGCAAUUGCAUCACUACCAGAUGGACCUGCGUUGUAUUAGCUAGUUGGUAAGGGAACGGCUAACCAAGGCAACGAUACUUACCCGACCUGAGGGGUGAUCGGCCACACUGGGAAUGGGGAAACGCCCAGGAUCCUACGGGGGGCAGCAGGAGGGGAACCUCGGCCAAGGACGGAAGGCUGAACGGGGAACGCCGCGGGAGGGAAGGAGGCUUUCGGGUCGUAAAGCUCUGUUGUAAGGGAAGGACGAGUGGGAGAGUGGAAAGUGCACACCGUGACGGUAUCUAAUCAGAAAGCGACGGCUAACUACGUG
Molecule: ribosomal RNA, 496 nt
Filed under: uncultured bacterium
Lineage: Bacteria
Description: partial 16S ribosomal RNA
Rfam family: Bacterial small subunit ribosomal RNA
Source: RNAcentral